GAUGAACGCUGGCGGCGUGCCUAAUACAUGCAAGUCGAGCGAACAGACGAGGAGCUUGCUCCUCUGACGUUAGCGGCGCACGGGUGAGUAACACGUGGAUAACCUACCUAUCAGACUGGGAUCACUUCGGGAAACCGGCGCUAAUACCGGAUAAUAUAUUGAACCGCAUGGUUCAAUAGUGAAAGACGGUUUUGCUGUCACUUAUAGAUGGAUCCGCGCCGCAUUAGCUGGUUGGUAAGGUAACGGCUUACCAAGGCAACGAUGCGUAGCCGACGUGAGAGGCGGAUAGGCGACACGGGAGCUGAGACACGGUCCAGACUCCUACGGGAGGCAGCAGUAGGGAAUCUUCCGCAAUGGGCGAAAGCCUGACGGAGCAACGCCGCGUGAGUGAUGAAGGUCUUCGGAUCGUAAAACUCUGUUAUUAGUGAAGAACAAAUGUGUAAGUAACUAUGCACGUCUUGACGGUACCUAAUCAGAAAGCCACGGCUAACUACGUG
This 497-nucleotide ribosomal RNA is filed under the name uncultured bacterium. RNAcentral describes it as "partial 16S ribosomal RNA". It matches the Rfam family "Bacterial small subunit ribosomal RNA", at positions 28 to 507 of the family's 1533-position model. The record is from RNAcentral.